This 326-nucleotide ribosomal RNA is filed under the name uncultured eukaryote. Its description in RNAcentral is "partial 18S ribosomal RNA". It matches the Rfam family "Eukaryotic small subunit ribosomal RNA", at positions 1470 to 1796 of the family's 1831-position model. The record is from RNAcentral.
CCCUUAGAUGUUCUGGGCCGCACGCGCGCUACACUGACGAAUGCAACGAGCUUAUAACCUUGGCCGAAAGGUCUGGGUAAUCUCCAAAUUUCGUCGUGAUGGGGAUAGAUUAUUGCAAUUAUUAAUCUUCAACGAGGAAUGCCUAGUAAGCGCAAGUCAUCAGCUUGCGUUGAUUACGUCCCUGCCCUUUGUACACACCGCCCGUCGCUACUACUGAUUGGAUGUUUAAGCGAGGUUCUCGAACUGCUAGCGACUUAGCUUCGGUGAGGUCGCAGUGUGGGAAGUGAACCUAGCUUUGGUGUCUAGAGGAAGUAAAAGUCGUAACA